CAGAGAUUUCCGAAUGGGGAAACCCAGCAUGAGUUAUGUCAUGUUAUCGAUAUGUGAAUACAUAGCAUAUCAGAAGGCACACCCGGAGAACUGAAACAUCUUAGUACCCGGAGGAAGAGAAAGAAAAUUCGAUUCCCUUAGUAGCGGCGAGCGAAACGGGAAGAGCCCAAACCAACAAGCUUGCUUGUUGGGGUUGUAGGACACUCUAUACGGAGUUACAAAGGACGACAUUAGACGAAUCAUCUGGAAAGAUGAAUCAAAGAAGGUAAUAAUCCUGUAGUCGAAAAUGUUGUCUCUCUUGAGUGGAUCCUGAGUACGACGGAGCACGUGAAAUUCCGUCGGAAUCUGGGAGGACCAUCUCCUAAGGCUAAAUACUCUCUAGUGACCGAUAGUGAACCAGUACCGUGAGGGAAAGGUGAAAAGCACCCCGGAAGGGGAGUGAAAUAGAACCUGAAACCGUGUGCUUACAAGUAGUCAGAGCCCGUUAAUGGGUGAUGGCGUGCCUUUUGUAGAAUGAACCGGCGAGUUACGAUUUGAUGCAAGGUUAAGCAGUAAAUGUGGAGCCGUAGCGAAAGCGAGUCUGAAUAGGGCGUUUAGUAUUUGGUCGUAGACCCGAAACCAGGUGAUCUACCCUUGGUCAGGUUGAAGUUCAGGUAACACUGAAUGGAGGACCGAACCGACUUACGUUGAAAAGUGAGCGGAUGAACUGAGGGUAGCGGAGAAAUUCCAAUCGAACCUGGAGAUAGCUGGUUCUCUCCGAAAUAGCUUUAGGGCUAGCCUCAAGUGAUGAUUAUUGGAGGUAGAGCACUGUUUGGACGAGGGGCCCCUCUCGGGUUACCGAAUUCAGACAAACUCCGAAUGCCAAUUAAUUUAACUUGGGAGUCAGAACAUGGGUGAUAAGGUCCGUGUUCGAAAGGGAAACAGCCCAGACCACCAGCUAAGGUCCCAAAAUAUAUGUUAAGUGGAAAAGGAUGUGGCGUUGCCCAGACAACUAGGAUGUUGGCUUAGAAGCAGCCAUCAUUUAAAGAGUGCGUAAUAGCUCACUAGUCGAGUGACACUGCGCCGAAAAUGUACCGGGGCUAAACAUAUUACCGAAGCUGUGGAUUGUCCUUUGGACAAUGGUAGGAGAGCGUUCUAAGGGCGUUGAAGCAUGAUCGUAAGGACAUGUGGAGCGCUUAGAAGUGAGAAUGCCGGUGUGAGUAGCGAAAGACGGGUGAGAAUCCCGUCCACCGAUUGACUAAGGUUUCCAGAGGAAGGCUCGUCCGCUCUGGGUUAGUCGGGUCCUAAGCUGAGGCCGACAGGCGUAGGCGAUGGAUAACAGGUUGAUAUUCCUGUACCACCUAUAAUCGUUUUAAUCGAUGGGGGGACGCAGUAGGAUAGGCGAAGCGUGCGAUUGGAUUGCACGUCUAAGCAGUAAGGCUGAGUAUUAGGCAAAUCCGGUACUCGUUAAGGCUGAGCUGUGAUGGGGAGAAGACAUUGUGUCUUCGAGUCGUUGAUUUCACACUGCCGAGAAAAGCCUCUAGAUAGAAAAUAGGUGCCCGUACCGCAAACCGACACAGGUAGUCAAGAUGAGAAUUCUAAGGUGAGCGAGCGAACUCUCGUUAAGGAACUCGGCAAAAUGACCCCGUAACUUCGGGAGAAGGGGUGCUCUUUAGGGUUAACGCCCAGAAGAGCCGCAGUGAAUAGGCCCAAGCGACUGUUUAUCAAAAACACAGGUCUCUGCUAAACCGUAAGGUGAUGUAUAGGGGCUGACGCCUGCCCGGUGCUGGAAGGUUAAGAGGAGUGGUUAGCUUCUGCGAAGCUACGAAUCGAAGCCCCAGUAAACGGCGGCCGUAACUAUAACGGUCCUAAGGUAGCGAAAUUCCUUGUCGGGUAAGUUCCGACCCGCACGAAAGGCGUAACGAUUUGGGCACUGUCUCAACGAGAGACUCGGUGAAAUCAUAGUACCUGUGAAGAUGCAGGUUACCCGCGACAGGACGGAAAGACCCCGUGGAGCUUUACUGUAGCCUGAUAUUGAAAUUCGGCACAGCUUGUACAGGAUAGGUAGGAGCCUUUGAAACGUGAGCGCUAGCUUACGUGGAGGCGCUGGUGGGAUACUACCCUAGCUGUGUUGGCUUUCUAACCCGCACCACUUAUCGUGGUGGGAGACAGUGUCAGGCGGGCAGUUUGACUGGGGCGGUCGCCUCCUAAAAGGUAACGGAGGCGCUCAAAGGUUCCCUCAGAAUGGUUGGAAAUCAUUCAUAGAGUGUAAAGGCAUAAGGGAGCUUGACUGCGAGACCUACAAGUCGAGCAGGGUCGAAAGACGGACUUAGUGAUCCGGUGGUUCCGCAUGGAAGGGCCAUCGCUCAACGGAUAAAAGCUACCCCGGGGAUAACAGGCUUAUCUCCCCCAAGAGUUCACAUCGACGGGGAGGUUUGGCACCUCGAUGUCGGCUCAUCGCAUCCUGGGGCUGUAGUCGGUCCCAAGGGUUGGGCUGUUCGCCCAUUAAAGCGGUACGCGAGCUGGGUUCAGAACGUCGUGAGACAGUUCGGUCCCUAUCCGUCGUGGG
This 2548-nucleotide ribosomal RNA is filed under the name Staphylococcus aureus. RNAcentral's name for it is "partial 23S ribosomal RNA". It matches the Rfam family "Bacterial large subunit ribosomal RNA", at positions 105 to 2651 of the family's 2925-position model. Lineage: Bacteria; Bacillati; Bacillota; Bacilli; Caryophanales; Staphylococcaceae. The record is from RNAcentral.